UGGGGAAUUUUGGACAAUGGGGGAAACCCUGACCCAGCCAUCCCGCGUGUGCGAUGAAGGCCUUCGGGUUGUAAAGCACUUUUGGCAGGAAAGAAACGUCAUGGGUUAAUACCCCGUGAAACUGACGGUACCUGCAGAAUAAGCACCGGCUAACUACGUGCCAGCAGCCGCGGUAAUACGUAGGGUGCAAGCGUUAAUCGGAAUUACUGGGCGUAAAGCGUGCGCAGGCGGUUCGGAAAGAAAGAUGUGAAAUCCCAGAGCUCAACUUUGGAACUGCAUUUUUAACUACCGGGCUAGAGUGUGUCAGAGGGAGGUGGAAUUCCGCGUGUAGCAGUGAAAUGCGUAGAUAUGCGGAGGAACACCGAUGGCGAAGGCAGCCUCCUGGGAUAACACUGACGCUCAUGCACGAAAGCGUGGGGAGCAAACAGG
This 429-nucleotide ribosomal RNA is filed under the name Acidobacteriota bacterium. RNAcentral describes it as "Acidobacteria bacterium partial 16S ribosomal RNA". It matches the Rfam family "Bacterial small subunit ribosomal RNA", at positions 355 to 776 of the family's 1533-position model. Lineage: Bacteria; Pseudomonadati; Acidobacteriota. The record is from RNAcentral.